Molecule: ribosomal RNA, 588 nt
Filed under: Beauveria bassiana
Lineage: Eukaryota; Fungi; Ascomycota; Sordariomycetes; Hypocreales; Cordycipitaceae
Description: eukaryotic LSU rRNA
Rfam family: 5.8S ribosomal RNA (bases 214-366)
Source: RNAcentral
GGAAGUAAAAGUCGUAACAGGUCUCCGUUGGUGAACAGCGGAGGGUCAUUACCGAGUUUUCAACUCCCUAACCCUUCUGUGAACCUACCUAUCGUUGCUUCGGCGGACUCGCCCCAGCCCGGACGCGGACUGGACCAGCGGCCCGCCGGGGACCUCAAACUCUUGUAUUCCAGCAUCUUCUGAAUACGCCGCAAGGCAAAACAAAUGAAUCAAAACUUUCAACAACGGAUCUCUUGCUCUGGCAUCGAUGAAGAACGCAGCGAAACGCGAUAAGUAAUGUGAAUUGCAGAAUCCAGUGAAUCAUCGAAUCUUUGAACGCACAUUGCGCCCGCCAGCAUUCUGGCGGGCAUGCCUGUUCGAGCGUCAUUUCAACCCUCGACCUCCCCUUGGGGAGGUCGGCGUUGGGGACCGGCAGCACACCGCCGGCCCUGAAAUGGAGUGGCGGCCCGUCCGCGGCGACCUCUGCGCAGUAAUACAGCUCGCACCGGAACCCCGACGCGGCCACGCCGUAAAACACCCAACUUCUGAACGUUGACCUCGAAUCAGGUAGGACUACCCGCUGAACUUAAGCAUAUCAAUAACGGAGGA